This 331-nucleotide ribosomal RNA is filed under the name uncultured bacterium. RNAcentral describes it as "bacterial SSU rRNA". It matches the Rfam family "Bacterial small subunit ribosomal RNA", at positions 568 to 897 of the family's 1533-position model. The record is from RNAcentral.
CGUGUAGGCGGUUGGUUAAGUCGGAUGUGAAAGCCUGGGGCUCAGCCCCAGAAGUGCAUCCGAAACUAUCCAGCUAGAGCGCGAUAGAGGAGGGUGGAAUUCCUGGUGUAGCGGUGAAAUGCGUAGAUAUCAGGAGGAACACCGGCGGCGAAGGCGGCCCUCUGGAUCGUUGCUGACGCUGAGACGCGAAAGCGUGGGGAGCAAACAGGAUUAGAUACCCUGGUAGUCCACGCCUUAAACGAUGGGGUACUAGGUGUUCGGGGUGUUGACCCCCUGAGUGCCGCAGUUAACGCAUUAAGUACCCCGCUGGGGACUACGGCCGCAAGGUUAA